CGUCCUAUUAGCUAGUUGGUGAGGUAAUGGCUCACCAAGGCUACGAUGGGUAGGGGUUCUUAGUGGAAGGUCCCCUACACUGGCACUGAGAUACGGGCCAGACUCCUACGGGAGGCAGCAGUAGGGAAUAUUGGUCAAUGGGCGCAAGCCUGAACCAGCCAUGCCGCGUGCAGGAUGAAGGCUCUCUGAGUUGUAAACUGCUUUUGUACAGGAGCAAAAAAAUCCCUGCGGGGGUUCUUGAGAGUACUGUAAGAAUAAGCACCGGCUAAUUCCGUGCCAGCAGCCGCGGUAAUACGGGAGGUGCAAGCGUUAUCCGGUUUUAUUGGGUUUAAAGGGUGCGUAGGCGGCUUAUUAAGUCAGUUGUGAAAUCCUAGUGCUUAACGCUAGAACUGCGAUUGAUACUAUU
RNAcentral lists this ribosomal RNA (406 nucleotides) under Candidatus Cardinium hertigii. Its description in RNAcentral is "bacterial SSU rRNA". It matches the Rfam family "Bacterial small subunit ribosomal RNA", at positions 234 to 637 of the family's 1533-position model. The record is from RNAcentral. Lineage: Bacteria; Pseudomonadati; Bacteroidota; Cytophagia; Cytophagales; Amoebophilaceae.